GGCUGCUUGGCGAAAUGGUAUCGCGUCACUUUCCGGCAUUUAACUAUGUGGAGCUUGGUGAAGAUUGCGGGUUCGAGUCCCGUGGCGGUCG
Molecule: non-coding RNA, 91 nt
Organism: Hypoxylon sp. FL1150
Lineage: Eukaryota; Fungi; Ascomycota; Sordariomycetes; Xylariales; Hypoxylaceae
Source: the annotation of a GenBank genome assembly